GUAGUUAGAAAAAAAAGAUUAGUGUGU
RNAcentral lists this small RNA (27 nucleotides) under Bombyx mori (domestic silkworm). Its description in RNAcentral is "ovarian small RNA-17661". Lineage: Eukaryota; Metazoa; Arthropoda; Insecta; Lepidoptera; Bombycidae. The record is from RNAcentral.